RNAcentral lists this ribosomal RNA (349 nucleotides) under Leiophasma flaviceps. RNAcentral's name for it is "partial small subunit ribosomal RNA". Lineage: Eukaryota; Metazoa; Arthropoda; Insecta; Phasmatodea; Anisacanthidae. The record is from RNAcentral.
AUAAUAGUUAUGUUCUUUAAACCUAAAGAAUUUGGCGGUGUUUUAUUCUAUUCAGAGGAAUUUGCCCUAUUAUCGAUAGUCCUCGUUUUAUCUUACUUUAUUUUGUUUACAGUUUGUAUAUCGCCGUUAUAAGUUUAUUUUUAUAGAAUUUUAAUUUACUUUAUUAUUUAUUAAUAUUUAUUUCAGGUCAAGGUGCAGCUUAUAUUAAAGUGGAGGUGAAUUACAAUAUUAUUUAUAUAAAUGGAUUUUUAUUUUAAAAUUUAAAUUGAAAGUGGAUUUGUUAGUAAUUUUAAUUAUAAAGUUAUUUUGAUUUUAGUUCUAAAAUAAGUACACAUCGCCCGUCGCUCUA